This 219-nucleotide ribosomal RNA is filed under the name uncultured bacterium. RNAcentral describes it as "partial 16S ribosomal RNA". It matches the Rfam family "Bacterial small subunit ribosomal RNA", at positions 127 to 334 of the family's 1533-position model. The record is from RNAcentral.
UACCCCAGAGUUUCGAAUAACCUGCCGAAAGGCGGGCUAAUACGAAAUAGAGCGAGGGAAUCCGUAAUGGGUUUUCGGGAAGGGAGGCCGCAAGGCCCCUUGCUUUGGGAUGAGCCUGCGUCUCAUUAGCUAGUUGGUAAGGUAACGGCUUACCAAGGCGAUGAUGGGUAGCUGGUCUGAGAGGAUGAUCAGCCACACUGGAACUGAAACACGGUCCAG